UGAACAGUCGACCGAUUGGGUUCUUCUUUCUCUUCCAAAAUAAGAGAAAAAGAGCCGGAGGUCUGAUGGUCGGAAGCCCUAGGGAGCAGCUACUGUCUGUGAGGUGGCGCCAAAUCGCAGACAACUUACAAACAGUCCUCAGUUGAUCCUCUACCGUGCUCUCACUUUGCACCUCUCUCACUCUCUCUGUUUCUCCUUGUUUCUCCGAAAUAAUCAACAUUAGAAAUGGGCGGAUCAGGUACCCGACUGGCGCCAUGUAAGCUCAUCUGCGUCUCGCCGCGCCUUGCUCUUCACACUAAUUAGGGGACGUUUGUGUGGGGGAUUCCUAUCCACACAGUUCGUUUUAGGUCUCCGAUGGGUAGAGCAG
Caenorhabditis elegans is the source of this 367-nucleotide non-coding RNA. Lineage: Eukaryota; Metazoa; Nematoda; Chromadorea; Rhabditida; Rhabditidae. The record is from Ensembl.